AGCAGCCGCGGUAAUUCCAGCUCCAAUAGCGUAUAUUAAAGUUGUUGCAGUUAAAAAGCUCGUAGUUGAAUUUCGAGACCGGUUUAUUGGUCGUGCUUUUGUACGUACUGGUAUUAUUGGUUUCUCCUUUCUGACGAAUCUUAAUGCCAUUAAUUUGGUGUUUUGGGGAAUCAGGACUGUUACUUUGAAAAAAUUAGAGUGUUUAAAGCAGGCUCACGCUUGAAUACAUUAGCAUGGAAUAACGGAAUAGGACGUUUGAUUCUAUUUUGUUGGUUUCUAGGAUCGACGUAAUGAUUAAUAGGGAUAGUUGGGGGCAUUAGUAUUCAAUUGUCAGAGGUGAAAUUCUUGGAUUUAUUGAAGACUAACUACUGCGAAAGCAUUUGCCAAGGAUGUUUUCAUUAAUCAAGAACGAAAGUUAGGGGAUCGAAGACGAUCAGAUACCGUCGUAGUCUUAACCAUAAACUAUGCCGACUAGGGAUCGGAUGAUGUUAAUUUUUUAAUG
Molecule: ribosomal RNA, 502 nt
Filed under: uncultured Glomus
Lineage: Eukaryota; Fungi; Glomeromycota; Glomeromycetes; Glomerales; Glomeraceae
Description: SSU rRNA
Rfam family: Eukaryotic small subunit ribosomal RNA
Source: RNAcentral